This 854-nucleotide ribosomal RNA is filed under the name Enterococcus faecalis. RNAcentral's name for it is "bacterial SSU rRNA". It matches the Rfam family "Bacterial small subunit ribosomal RNA", at positions 8 to 835 of the family's 1533-position model. Lineage: Bacteria; Bacillati; Bacillota; Bacilli; Lactobacillales; Enterococcaceae. The record is from RNAcentral.
AGAGUUUGAUUCUGGCUCAGGACGAACGCUGGCGGCGUGCCUAAUACAUGCAAGUCGAACGCUUCUUUCCUCCCGAGUGCUUGCACUCAAUUGGAAAGAGGAGUGGCGGACGGGUGAGUAACACGUGGGUAACCUACCCAUCAGAGGGGGAUAACACUUGGAAACAGGUGCUAAUACCGCAUAACAGUUUAUGCCGCAUGGCAUAAGAGUGAAAGGCGCUUUCGGGUGUCGCUGAUGGAUGGACCCGCGGUGCAUUAGCUAGUUGGUGAGGUAACGGCUCACCAAGGCCACGAUGCAUAGCCGACCUGAGAGGGUGAUCGGCCACACUGGGACUGAGACACGGCCCAGACUCCUACGGGAGGCAGCAGUAGGGAAUCUUCGGCAAUGGACGAAAGUCUGACCGAGCAACGCCGCGUGAGUGAAGAAGGUUUUCGGAUCGUAAAACUCUGUUGUUAGAGAAGAACAAGGACGUUAGUAACUGAACGUCCCCUGACGGUAUCUAACCAGAAAGCCACGGCUAACUACGUGCCAGCAGCCGCGGUAAUACGUAGGUGGCAAGCGUUGUCCGGAUUUAUUGGGCGUAAAGCGAGCGCAGGCGGUUUCUUAAGUCUGAUGUGAAAGCCCCCGGCUCAACCGGGGAGGGUCAUUGGAAACUGGGAGACUUGAGUGCAGAAGAGGAGAGUGGAAUUCCAUGUGUAGCGGUGAAAUGCGUAGAUAUAUGGAGGAACACCAGUGGCGAAAGCGGCUCUCUGGUCUGUAACUGACGCUGAGCUCGAAAGCGUGGGGAGCAAACAGAUUAGAUACCCUGGUAGUCCACGCCGUAAACGAUGAGUGCUAAGUGUUGGAGGGUUUCC